This 492-nucleotide ribosomal RNA is filed under the name uncultured bacterium. Its description in RNAcentral is "partial 16S ribosomal RNA". It matches the Rfam family "Bacterial small subunit ribosomal RNA", at positions 29 to 507 of the family's 1533-position model. The record is from RNAcentral.
AGUGAACGCUGGCGGUAGGCCUAACACAUGCAAGUCGAACGGCAGCACAGUAAGAGCUUGCUCUUACGGGUGGCGAGUGGCGGACGGGUGAGGAAUACAUCGGCAUCUACUUUUUCGUGGGGGAUGACGUAGGGAAACUUACGCUAAUACCGCAUACGACCUACGGGUGAAAGCAGGGGAUCUUCGGACCUUGCGCGAUUGAAUGAGCCGAUGUCGGAUUAGCUAGUUGGCGGGGUAAAGGCCCACCAAGGCGACGAUCCGUAGCUGGUCUGAGAGGAUGAUCGGCCACACUGGAACUGAGACACGGUCCAGACUCCUACGGGAGGCAGCAGUGGGGAAUAUUGGGCAAUGGGCGCAAGCCUGAUCCAGCCAUACCGCGUGGGUGAAGAAGGCCUUCGGGUUGUAAAGCCCUUUUGUUGGGAAAGAAAAGCAGCAGGUUAAUACCCCGCUGUUCUGACGGUACCCAAAGAAUAAGCACCGGCUAACUUCGUG